Molecule: ribosomal RNA, 695 nt
Filed under: uncultured Bacilli bacterium
Lineage: Bacteria; Bacillati; Bacillota; Bacilli
Description: bacterial SSU rRNA
Rfam family: Bacterial small subunit ribosomal RNA
Source: RNAcentral
UGCAAGUCGAGCGGACGACGGGAGCUUGCUCCCUUAGGUCAGCGGCGGACGGGUGAGUAACACGUGGGUAACCUGCCCGUAAGACUGGGAUAACUCCGGGAAACCGGGGCUAAUACCGGAUGCUUGAUUGAACCGCAUGGUUCAAUCAUAAAAGGUGGCUUUCAGCUACCACUUACAGAUGGACCCGCGGCGCAUUAGCUAGUUGGUGAGGUAACGGCUCACCAAGGCGACGAUGCGUAGCCGACCUGAGAGGGUGAUCGGCCGCACUGGGACUGAGACACGGCCCAGACUCCUACGGGAGGCAGCAGUAGGGAAUCUUCCGCAAUGGACGAAAGUCUGACGGAGCAACGCCGCGUGAGUGAUGAAGGUUUUCGGAUCGUAAAACUCUGUUGUUAGGGAAGGACAAGUACCGUUCGAAUAGGGCGGCACCUUGACGGUACCUAACCAGAAAGCCACGGCUAACUACAUGCCAGCAGCCGCGGUAAUACGUAGGUGGCAAGCGUUGUCCGGAAUUAUUGGGCGUAAAGCGCGCGCAGGCGGUUUCUUAAGUCUGAUGUGAAAGCCCCCGGCUCAACCGGGGAGGGUCAUUGGAAACUGGGGACUUGAGUGCAGAAGAGGAGAGUGGAAUUCCACGUGUAGCGGUGAAAUGCGUAGAGAUGUGGAGGACACCAGUGGCGAAGGCGACUCUCUGGUCU